AAUGCCGGAUGCUCCAGUUGGAUGCAUGUCCUUCUGGGAAAGAUUCAUCGGUAUGGGAUGGGGUCGCGUCCUAUCAGCUUGAUGGCGGGGUAACGGCCCACCAUGGCUUCGACGGGUAGCCGGCCUGAGAGGGCGACCGGCCACAUUGGGACUGAGAUACGGCCCAGACUCCUACGGGAGGCAGCAGUGGGGAAUAUUGCACAAUGGGCGCAAGCCUGAUGCAGCGACGCCGCGUGCGGGAUGACGGCCUUCGGGUUGUAAACCGCUUUUGACUGGGAGCAAGCCCUUCGGGGUGAGUGUACCUUUCGAAUAAGCACCGGCUAACUACGUGCCAGCAGCCGCGGUAAUACGUAGGGUGCAAGCGUUAUCCGGAAUUAUUGGGCGUAAAGGGCUCGUAGGCGGUUCGUCGCGUCCGGUGUGAAAGUCCAUCGCUUAACGGUGGAUCCGCGCCGGGUACGGGCGGGCUUGAGUGCGGUAGGGGAGACUGGAAUUCCCGGUGUAACGGUGGAAUGUGUAGAUAUCGG
This 524-nucleotide ribosomal RNA is filed under the name Bifidobacterium adolescentis. RNAcentral describes it as "bacterial SSU rRNA". It matches the Rfam family "Bacterial small subunit ribosomal RNA", at positions 165 to 700 of the family's 1533-position model. The record is from RNAcentral. Lineage: Bacteria; Bacillati; Actinomycetota; Actinomycetes; Bifidobacteriales; Bifidobacteriaceae.